This is a long non-coding RNA of Myotis davidii, 1386 nucleotides long. RefSeq lists it as uncharacterized. The transcript has 3 exons. Lineage: Eukaryota; Metazoa; Chordata; Mammalia; Chiroptera; Vespertilionidae. The record is from RefSeq and is a predicted model, not a curated record.
UUCCCUCCUCCCGCCGCAGCCGGCUUCCCGGGUCCUUCACUCUGCGCUGACGGCUAAGGCCGACCUGGGCACACGCCCGGUGCCCGCGCGCGGGGUGCGUCGGGAGGCGUAGUUCUCGGAAACCCAGAGUCCAGUUCACAGGAGAGCCCUUUGUGAAGGAAGCACACUACAACUCCCAGGAAGCACCGCGCCUCCUGCGGCCUUGAAGCUCGCGGAGUAGACUGAGGGAGCGCGCAAAAGAACGCGCCGCGCUGGUGCCCUCGAGGCGCCUGCGCAGUUCCUGGUCUUGGGGGACUGGGUGGGACGUACACCUACCUCCGCUGCUCUUGGUUUGGUGGCAGCGCCGUGAGAGAGGACAUACCUUCCCUCUUGCACGCUCUGGCCAGUCUCUUCCUCAGCUACCGAAGAUCAGGCCUUUUGUGCCAGCGGCUUCAGUCGUCCUAACCAGUUAAACCAGCCUGGAAGGCCGGCCCAGCCUGCGCCUCGGGCACCUCCCAAAUCAGCUCCCUCAGAUCCGACCGGAGGUCUCUCCCUUGUACUCUGCAUUUUCUACCCAGUGAAGCCAGCCCCCUCCACCUGACCUUCAAGAGCCUCCCACCAUCAGACACCAAGAUACUGUCUUCUGACUGCAUGCAGAGCUUUCUGGUUUUCCCUCUGGCAACAAAAGUGUCAACAAAAGUGUCGCCUGGUUACUAAGGACGAAUUUGUGUGGUGUUAGAACAUACUUGUUUUUUGCCUCCUGAGUCUUCAUUCCUCCCAAUUGAAGCCGUGCAGCAUAACCAUACCCUCAAGUGGCUGAGCGUUUCGGAGAUGGUCAUGUAACCCAAUCAGAACCAAGGAGCCCCACAGAGACUUCAGUUGAGGAGUGCAGUAAAUUGCAGUGCCCUUGUUUUUCUGGUGUGAGGUAAGUACAUGAAGGCUAAAAACGUGCAACCAUUUUGCUCCUGCGAGAGGAAAGCCUGAAGGAAAUGGGCUUAAGGGACAGGCACCAGAGAGCCUGAAGAUGCAGUCAAUAUUGUCAAAUGCGUUCUGGAGAGAGAAGAACUGAAUGUGUGGUGGCAUCACUAGAGCUGCACUAUCAGACCUCACCUGUUUGGCCUACAGACUAAUAUCUACACUGUUUAGAAUGGUGUCAUACAUGCCCUAUGUUGUGUAAGCAGGCUUGUAUUGGGGGUUUUCUGUGUUUCAAAACUCUGAACGUCCUAAUUCUGUUGGAUUUCUCUACUUGACAUUGCAAGGUCCUGUCGAAUACAAAUUAAUACUUAAAAAUAAACUGUGGAAGAGACUUUCAGCUAUGGCUAUGUGACAUGGCCAACAAUUCCUCUACACAAGCGAUUUUCAACUGGUGUACUGCAAGAAUUUUUAAAACAUGCAAAAACUGACUAG